GCCCUGGUGGUGGAAUUGGUAGACACGCAGGACUUAAAAUCCUGUUCCUUAUGGGAGUACGGGUUCGAUUCCCGUCCGGGGCACCA
RNAcentral lists this transfer RNA (86 nucleotides) under Candidatus Gracilibacteria bacterium CG2_30_37_12. Its description in RNAcentral is "tRNA-Leu". It matches the Rfam family "tRNA". Rfam says of the family: Transfer RNA (tRNA) molecules are approximately 80 nucleotides in length. Their secondary structure includes four short double-helical elements and three loops (D, anti-codon, and T loops). Further hydrogen bonds mediate the characteristic L-shaped molecular structure. tRNAs have two regions of fundamental functional importance: the anti-codon, which is responsible for specific mRNA codon recognition, and the 3' end, to which the tRNAs corresponding amino acid is attached (by aminoacyl-tRNA synthetases). tRNAs cope with the degeneracy of the genetic code in two manners: having more than one tRNA (with a specific anti-codon) for a particular amino acid; and 'wobble' base-pairing, i.e. permitting non-standard base-pairing at the 3rd anti-codon position. The record is from RNAcentral. RNAcentral also lists the same sequence under 1 other name. Lineage: Bacteria; Candidatus Altimarinota.